CCAAGAAUGUUUUCUUUAGUCAAGAACGAAAGUCGGAGGUUCGAAGACGAUCAGAUACCGUCGUAGUUCCGACCGUAAACGAGUGCUCGACCUACUCAUCGGCCGCGGAUCUCGAUCGACCCGGCCGGCGACCCCCGGGAAACCUAUACGAGUGCUUGCCGACUCCGGGGGAAGUAUGUUCGCAAAGAUGAAACUUAAAGGAAUUGACGGAAGGGCACCACCAGGAGUGGAGCCUGCGGCUUAAUUCGACUCAACACGGGAAAACUCACCCGGCCCGGACUACGCGAGGAUUGACAGAUCGAUAGCUCUUUCUCGAUUCGCGGGAUGGUGGUGCAUGGCCGUUCUUAGUUGGUGGAGCGAUUUGUCUGGUUAAUUCCGAUAACGAACGAGACUCAC
Molecule: ribosomal RNA, 396 nt
Filed under: Epimenia babai
Lineage: Eukaryota; Metazoa; Mollusca; Solenogastres; Cavibelonia; Epimeniidae
Description: bacterial SSU rRNA
Rfam family: Eukaryotic small subunit ribosomal RNA
Source: RNAcentral